AAGCGUUUGCGACCAGACCUUUUCCUGGCGGAUCAUCCGGUGUUCUCACCGGUGCACUUCGCUUGGUUUAGGCCAGCAUCGGUUUUCUUAGGGGGAUAAAGGCCUGGGGCACGUAGCUCUUCCGGGAGUGUUAUAGCCCCUAGCGUAAUGCCCUUACGGGGACCGAGGACCGCGCUUCGGCAAGGAUGCUGGCGUAAUGGUCGUCAACGA
Molecule: ribosomal RNA, 210 nt
Filed under: Xylariaceae sp.
Lineage: Eukaryota; Fungi; Ascomycota; Sordariomycetes; Xylariales; Xylariaceae
Description: partial large subunit ribosomal RNA
Source: RNAcentral